RNAcentral lists this transfer RNA (76 nucleotides) under Ruminococcaceae bacterium YRB3002. RNAcentral's name for it is "tRNA_Ala_TGC". It matches the Rfam family "tRNA". From Rfam's summary of the family: Transfer RNA (tRNA) molecules are approximately 80 nucleotides in length. Their secondary structure includes four short double-helical elements and three loops (D, anti-codon, and T loops). The record is from RNAcentral. Lineage: Bacteria; Bacillati; Bacillota; Clostridia; Eubacteriales; Oscillospiraceae.
GGGGACAUAGCUCAGUUGGGAGAGCGCCUGCCUUGCAAGCAGGAGGUCGCGGGUUCGACUCCCGUUGUUUCCACCA